GCCUACUUAGCUCAGUCGGUUAGAGCAUCUGACUGUUAAUCAGGGGGUCGUAGGUUCAAGUCCUACAGUGGGCGCCA
Molecule: transfer RNA, 77 nt
Filed under: Clostridia bacterium
Lineage: Bacteria; Bacillati; Bacillota; Clostridia
Description: tRNA-Asn
Rfam family: tRNA
About the family: Transfer RNA (tRNA) molecules are approximately 80 nucleotides in length. Their secondary structure includes four short double-helical elements and three loops (D, anti-codon, and T loops).
Source: RNAcentral